UACGAAGGGGGCUAGCGUUGCUCGGAAUCACUGGGCGUAAAGGGUGCGUAGGCGGUCCUUUAAGUCAGGGGUGAAAUCCCGGAGCUCAACUCCAGAACUGCCUUUGAUACUGAGGAUCUUGAGUUCGGGAGAGGUGAGUGGAACUGCGAGUGUAGAGGUGAAAUUCGUAGAUAUUCGCAAGAACACCAGUGGCGAAGGCGGCUCACUGGCCCGAUACUGACGCUGAGGCACGAAAGCGUGGGGAGCGAACAGG
This 253-nucleotide ribosomal RNA is filed under the name uncultured bacterium. Its description in RNAcentral is "partial 16S ribosomal RNA". It matches the Rfam family "Bacterial small subunit ribosomal RNA", at positions 524 to 776 of the family's 1533-position model. The record is from RNAcentral.